Molecule: ribosomal RNA, 661 nt
Filed under: uncultured archaeon
Lineage: Archaea
Description: bacterial SSU rRNA
Rfam family: Archaeal small subunit ribosomal RNA
Source: RNAcentral
CAGUAAUGCAAGGCAUACGGCUCAGUAACACGUAGUCAACCUACCCUAUGGACGAGAAUAAUCUCGGGAAACUGAGCAUAAUUCUUGAUAGAUCAUAAUGCCUGGAAUGGUUUAUGGUUAAAAUGAUUCGUCGCCAUAGGAUGGGACUGCGGCCUAUCAGCUUGUUGGUGAGGUAAUGGCCCACCAAGGCGAUUACAGGUACGGGCUCUGAGAGGAGAAGCCCGGAGAUGGGUACUGAGACACGGACCCAGGCCCUAUGGGGCGCAGCAGGCGAGAAAACUUUGCAAUGUGCGAAAGCACGACAAGGUUAAUCCGAGUGAUUUCUGCUAAAGAAAUCUUUUACCAGUCGUAAAACCGCUGGUGAAUAAGGGGUGGGCAAGUUCUGGUGUCAGCCGCCGCGGUAAAACCAGCACCUCAAGUGGUCAGGAUGAUUAUUGGGCCUAAAGCAUCCGUAGCCUGCUUUGUAAGUUUUCGGUUAAAUCCAUGUGCUCAACGCAUGGGCUGCCGAAAAUACUGCAUAGCUAGGGAGUGGGAGAGGUAGACGGUACUCAGUAGGUAGGGGUAAAAUCCUUUGAUCUAUUGAUGACCACCUGUGGCGAAGGCGGUCUACCAGAACACGUUCGACGGUGAGGGAUGAAAGCUGGGGGAGCAAACCGGAUUA